Molecule: long non-coding RNA, 4625 nt
Filed under: Hordeum vulgare
Lineage: Eukaryota; Viridiplantae; Streptophyta; Magnoliopsida; Poales; Poaceae
Description: long non-coding RNA (HVUL_LNC020905)
Source: RNAcentral
AACAGCUCAUCCAGGUAAACAGAGCGUUUCAUUUUCUACUCUACAUUGCAUUGUUGUGAAAAUCAAGUAUUGCAGCUUGAUUGCAUAGACGCAAUUAAAACAAAUUCAUCGGCGCUGAUUGAAUUGGCAGAUGAAUGGCAGAUGAAGUUCCUGAAAACGGUGAUCGAAUUGAUAGAUCAUCAUAAUUUGGCUGUGUUUAGGUAGGGGUCAGGAUUAGGCGGGGCGGGAUGCUGCUGUCCGCAAACACAAACGCGGGCGCCAGCGACUUAGAGCAUCUUCACCCGCGUCCUCAAAACGCCCUCUCAAUCGAUGUUUUAAUUGUCGACGCUAAAAAAAAUCGUUCAGUCGUGCUUCAUGACGUCGUUUUUUAACGGAUUUGACUAAAACUAGCACUGGCGGUCCCAAGCUGAACCCGCCCCCCGAAGGACGCUUGGGGACGACCGACGCUAUUUUUACAUGCACAAACCCCACCGACCUGCAUCUCUCUUCUCUCUCUCCUUCCUUUCUUUGUUAGGUCCACCAUGUACAUGUAAAAAAAAAUCUUUACUUUCUUUUAUCUCUCUUCUUAGUGGCCGCCUAGGAACCAAGCCCUACCAAACCGUUUUUCUUGUCGGUUAACCCUCACGCAACGCUAUUUUGGCCCUUAGGACGCCUAACGGCCAGAGAUGCUCUUAAGCGGUCAUCAUGGCUGCCCGUUACAUGCCGGCUACAUUUAUUGUUGACAACGUGGCAGCCUGUAUGAUCCCGCUACAAACCCGCUUGACGUAUGUACCUUUACAAGACCGAACAUGUUUUCUGAUGACAUGUCGCCCUCCUGAACCUGUCCACCUCCAGCUCCGUCUCGAUAACCUUGUCGGCGCCGAGGAACGCCCUGACGAACGGCUCCAUCAUCAGUCGGGGGCUCGCGGUGAUGAUGCACCUCCUGCCGAACGAGCGGAACACCCGCCACCCAUCAGGGUGCUCGUCGCGGGUGUAGAACGGACGCGGAUUUUGUCUAGCCCAUUGCGCGCACAACCCAUAUCAGGUCCAUCCAUCCGGCAUGCAGGUCAAAUCAAUCAUUCCACAUGCAGGUCAAAUCAAUAGGUUGCUUGUACCUCUUUCUUCUCUCUCUCAAACAAAUCCAUAUUUUCAUUACCCCUUUAUAAACUUAAAUCGUUUAUAUCUUCUAAACCGAUAUUUCAAUUUUAUUUAUUUUUAUAUAUUUGAACCUCUAGCGCAAAGACCUUUAUAACAAGACCGAUGUUGAAUAUAUUUGGACUAGUUUAAAAAAUUUGAGUGAAGAGUUCUUCACUGUUUCUAGCAAAGUUCGGACAAGCUGUUUAUAUAGCUCUUCAGUUCCAAAAAGAUUUUCUAGCAAAGUCCUUCAAUAUUUCUGACAAAGUGCAGACCUAGUAUUCAGAAAGUUCUUGAACUCCUGAAGUUUAUUGAACUAUACCACAAAGUUCUUCAAACUUUUCAUACAAAGUACCGGCUAGGUAAAUGUAAUAUUUCGCAAAAUAAUAAUUCAAUAUUAUUCUUAUUCUAAAGGUCUUUGCGUCAUGAUUAUAGUGAACUAAUUUAUUUUGAAAUCGGAAUAUUGGUUUAGAAGAUAUAAAUGAUUUAAGUUAGGAAAGGUGAAAUAAAAUGGAUGGAUUUGUUUCGGAAAGAGAAGAGAGAAGAAAGAGAGUGGACAUGCAGAUGUGACAUCAUGUGUACUAGCUGAUGUGAUGUGCAUGAAGAUGUGUGGUGAAGAUUUGAGUCGGGCAAUGAGUUAGGUAUAGCCAUAUUCGGUGUAGAACCUGGUGUGCACCCACUGGGCCACCGUGCAUCUGCCCGAGAGUUCAGGGCAUCUAUAUAUAUGCACCUCCAUUAGUGUGAGAUCCAUGGUCAUCCUUCCAUAAUUCCAUAUAUCUAAGAAGUCCUCUGGAAAAUGAGCAUUUUCCGUGGGAACUUUUGCUGAUCUGCAGCCACUCAUAACUUCGUCCCAGAUCUUUUCUUUUUUCGAAACAGGCUUUCGCCCCGCUUUGUAUUACAAAGCAACCACUUUCGGUACAUCCAACGAUAGGUGCUGGAGCGGAAACAGCACAUGCACGCCCAAAAGAAACAACAAAGAAAGAGGCAAAGAAACAAAUGCCAACAACAGCGGAUCACCGAAAACGGAGAAGCCUCGCGACCAUUGCGUCCACCGAAGAACACCCACCAAGCUCGUAGACUCCGAGACGCCGGUACCAAUCAACACCUCCAAGAAGGUCUUCCCUUACCCAUCAAUCGGCACCGACCGCGACUGCUCAUCCAUUCACAUCCACUGCCAGAGAAAUCAAACAUGUCAAAUUCAAUGGUAACAUGAUUUUCACGUGUUAAGUAACGAACGAACACAAGUUUUUCUAUAAGAUCAAGGGAAACUUGGAUGUUAGAUAAAGAAAGUGGCGUAGAUGUAGAAGGAGCAAAUGCAUGUCCGAUAUGGGUAAUGGGAAGAGAGGAACCGGCAUCGACGGUGAUACGAGUAGAGGUGUUGACUGGAUAGGAGGUGUGGAGAGUAUCGGGAUGAGCGGCCAUGUGAGCCGUAGCACCGGUAUCCAUGUACCAGUCGCCACCGCCGGUGUAGUUGGACGGUGUAGAAGAGGAGUGUAGAGCCUCCAGCAAGGCCGGGUCCCAGGCCGCUUGGGAAGCGCGGGAGCCGGUGGCUGUGGCGGGUCGUCAUGGAGAGCGGCGGCAGCCCUCCUGGCUGCGGUAGCUGUCCAAAGGAGAGGGAGGCCCAUACGACGCCACGUAGGGCUGCGGUGUGGCGUAAAACGCUUGAUGCGAGGGAGAUCGUGGACCGAUGAUGACGGGAGUAGGCACAUGUGGAACCCACAUGGAGUAAGCAUGCACGAAGCCGGACCAUGGGUUCUGCCUGACAUACCACGGAGCCGGUUGUUGCUGCUACUGUGGACGGGCUGCUCCUCCCUGAGCGUCGCUCGGCUGCUGCUGAUGGCACCCCUUGCACUGACCACCGCGGCGACGGCUGUUACUAGGUGGAGCCUGCUGCUGCUGUGAGAAGGGAUCUGAUGCCUGUGGGAAAUUCGGCUACUGCGUGGGGGCGCGGCUGAGGUGCAGGCGACGCCAGUCCGUCGCGGGAGGCAGUGGUGAGAGCCGUGUGCGUGGCCCGUAUCCGCUCCAUCUUCACCCGCCUCUCCUUGAGCUUGAGGUACGCCAACCCCUUAGCGAAGGUAGGCUCCGGGAUGAGAGUAAGGUUGGAGGCGACGUUCCCAAACUCAUCAUUGAGACCAGCGGUGAGUGUGCUGAUGAGGAGCUCAUUGCGGAUCGUCUCGCCCAGAUCACGAAGCUCAUCGGCAUGCUUUCUGAGGCGCAUGCAAAAAUCAUCAAUGGAUGAAUCAAGUUGUUUGCACCCAUAGAACUCGCCGUGAAGAAGGACCUUGGGCUGAAGUUUGUUGUCGGUGAAGAGGCCGUUGAGAUUGGUCCAUACGGCGUAAGCGUUAUCAUCGUCGCAUACAACGGUGUGGAAGAGGUCCUUGGAGAUGGUGAGGUAGAACCAGCGGAUGAUGGUGGCGUUGCGGGUCAUCCAGUCCUCGUCAUUCACCAUGAGACGGGAGUCCACGAUGCCAUCGAUGUGACUGUGGAGCAGGUACUCAAGGAACACCAAAGAGAAGUACCUCUUUCAGGCGGAGUAGGAGGCGGUGGACUAAUCAACGAUCACUGGAACGCGGUCGAAGAUGUUGAAAUCGCGAACGAGGGGGACGUCCGGGCCGACGAACGGAUUGCUGCCGGAGGAGGCCGAGUAACUCAGAGAGACCAUGGCAGCGGGCGAUCGGCGGCUUCGGGUGGUAAGGGUGAGGGUGGCGGAAGUGGAUGAUGCGGCGGUUGCGCGUUGGUGUGCGCGACGACGGCGGUGGCCCGUGAUGGAGGGCGCGGCUGUGGUGGCGGCGGUGCGCGAUGGAGGGCGCGGCGGCGGCGGCUAGGUUAGGAACGUGGAGGAAACUGAUACCAUGUAGAGACUUAGGUUUGGACUGUGCAACUCUCAAUAUACUGAUUGGGUGCACUAGGCACGUAUAUAUAAGGUACAAGAUGGGUCUUAAUCUCAACUAUACAAAGAACUAGGAGGUGAGCCUACGACACAAUAUACAUACACAAAUAGGUAUUCAACACCUAUGAUAAUGAGUUUCAUGUACAUAACGAUAAACACUGCCAGAUUAGUGUUUCCAUAAUUAUCCGGGCAUCGAUUUUAUAUUAUUGUAUCAAAAGCAGUAUUUAAAAUGUCACAUAUACAGUGCGUGCUCUUCACAAUAUUGCAAUGUACAUUUUUCAUAUAUUUCUUCCGCAAAAUAUUCUAGGGUCACUUGUUAAUAUUUCUUGGAAAAAGACAAACGGCAUUGAUUUUUAAACUAAGUAUUAUGUGGUAUUCCAGGUAGCAAGAGGACUGGCAGAAAGAUACUACCAAUAGGUAUGCUAACACUUGCACUUUUUUGUCACAUGUUAUGAUUUAAAUGCCAGUAGUUCCUCAACGAGGAUUUUUGAGAUAAAUAUUUUUUCAGUUUGACUCUACAAUAUUUGCAUAAAACAAGUCAAUGGGGAGCAACAAAAUAUGAUCUUCCUUUUCCUAUUGCUGCCUUGUACUAUUUCAAACCGUUCUUAGGACCCGUUGCAGU